GAGCUGUCUGUCUUUUCCAUCUAGGCUGCAGGAGACUGAGCUGAGUAGGUCAGGAAUAUGUUUUACAGGCAUUACACAGGCCAGUCUUCAGAGGCCAGUGUACAUGGUGAGUCCAGACAUCCUCAAACACACUCUGCACAUGUCACGCUGGCGGACAGAGCAGCGUGUGUGCCGUUUGGAUAUUUCCUCUUGGAAUGUUGGUUACCUAGCAACAAGAU
This is an unclassified non-coding RNA of Cercocebus atys (sooty mangabey), 218 nucleotides long. The record is from Ensembl. Lineage: Eukaryota; Metazoa; Chordata; Mammalia; Primates; Cercopithecidae.